Molecule: ribosomal RNA, 1191 nt
Filed under: Kluyvera sp.
Lineage: Bacteria; Pseudomonadati; Pseudomonadota; Gammaproteobacteria; Enterobacterales; Enterobacteriaceae
Description: bacterial SSU rRNA
Rfam family: Bacterial small subunit ribosomal RNA
Source: RNAcentral
GGCCUACACAUGCAGUCGAACGGUAGCACAGAGAGCUUGCUCUCGGGUGACGAGUGGCGGACGGGUGAGUAAUGUCUGGGAAACUGCCCGAUGGAGGGGGAUAACUACUGGAAACGGUAGCUAAUACCGCAUAACGUCGCAAGACCAAAGUGGGGGACCUUCGGGCCUCACACCAUCGGAUGUGCCCAGAUGGGAUUAGCUAGUAGGUGGGGUAACGGCUCACCUAGGCGACGAUCCCUAGCUGGUCUGAGAGGAUGACCAGCCACACUGGAACUGAGACACGGUCCAGACUCCUACGGGAGGCAGCAGUGGGGAAUAUUGCACAAUGGGCGCAAGCCUGAUGCAGCCAUGCCGCGUGUAUGAAGAAGGCCUUCGGGUUGUAAAGUACUUUCAGCGAGGAGGAAGGCGUUGUGGUUAAUAACCGCAGCGAUUGACGUUACUCGCAGAAGAAGCACCGGCUAACUCCGUGCCAGCAGCCGCGGUAAUACGGAGGGUGCAAGCGUUAAUCGGAAUUACUGGGCGUAAAGCGCACGCAGGCGGUUUGUUAAGUCAGAUGUGAAAUCCCCGGGCUCAACCUGGGAACUGCAUUUGAAACUGGCAAGCUUGAGUCUCGUAGAGGGGGGUAGAAUUCCAGGUGUAGCGGUGAAAUGCGUAGAGAUCUGGAGGAAUACCGGUGGCGAAGGCGGCCCCCUGGACGAAGACUGACGCUCAGGUGCGAAAGCGUGGGGAGCAAACAGGAUUAGAUACCCUGGUAGUCCACGCCGUAAACGAUGUCUAUUUGGAGGUUGUUCCCUUGAGGAGUGGCUUCCGGAGCUAACGCGUUAAAUAGACCGCCUGGGGAGUACGGCCGCAAGGUUAAAACUCAAAUGAAUUGACGGGGGCCCGCACAAGCGGUGGAGCAUGUGGUUUAAUUCGAUGCAACGCGAAGAACCUUACCUACUCUUGACAUCCAGAGAACUUAGCAGAGAUGCUUUGGUGCCUUCGGGAACUCUGAGACAGGUGCUGCAUGGCUGUCGUCAGCUCGUGUUGUGAAAUGUUGGGUUAAGUCCCGCAACGAGCGCAACCCUUAUCCUUUGUUGCCAGCGGUUCGGCCGGGAACUCAAAGGAAACUGCCAGUGAUAAACUGGAAGAAAGGUGGGAAUGACCUCAAGUCAUCAUGGCCCUUACGAGUAGGGCUACCCACGUGCUACA